This 402-nucleotide long non-coding RNA is filed under the name Mustela putorius furo (domestic ferret). RNAcentral describes it as "lncRNA (ENSMPUG00000025831.1)". The record is from RNAcentral. Lineage: Eukaryota; Metazoa; Chordata; Mammalia; Carnivora; Mustelidae.
CUGGGAUUAAAACGCGGGUGGAAGGCACGGUCUUGUGCUGCCAAAAGGAUAGAGGAAUUGCCUAUGGCUUGGGUUCUUCAACUUUUUUGGAUCAGAAUCCCCCUGACUACCUAACCAAGGUCCUUCACGCAGAAUGCAUGUGGGCCCUUGCUACCAACAUUCGGGUACAUUCCAGGAAGUUAGAGACCCUCUGAAGUGGAGUCGACCAGCACACAAGAACCACCUGCGCAGAGAAGAGAAUGAAACUGUAAGGAGAGUUUUGGGACUCCUGAUUGGCUCAGUGGAAGGAGCAUGCGACUCGAGCUCCGCGAAGUCAUGAUCCCAGGAUCCUAGGAUCAAGCCCCACAUCGGAUUCUCUGCUCAGCGGGGUGCCUGCUUCCCUUCCUCUCUGCCUGCCUGUCU